This 98-nucleotide microRNA precursor is filed under the name Python bivittatus (Burmese python). RNAcentral's name for it is "let-7a-1 stem-loop (pbv-let-7a-1)". Its record names the gene pbv-let-7a-1. The stretch from base 8 to 89 matches the Rfam family "let-7 microRNA precursor family". From Rfam's summary of the family: This family represents the microRNAs (miRNA) let-7 and mir-98. let-7 was identified from a study of developmental timing in C. elegans, and was later shown to be part of a much larger class of non-coding RNAs termed miRNAs. The extents of the hairpin precursors are not generally known and are estimated based on hairpin prediction. The record is from miRBase by way of RNAcentral. Lineage: Eukaryota; Metazoa; Chordata; Lepidosauria; Squamata; Pythonidae.
CUGCUCUGUGGGAUGAGGUAGUAGGUUGUAUAGUUUUAGGGUCAUACCCACCACUGGGAGAUAACUAUACAGUCUACUGUCUUUCCUAAGGAGGCAGA